This 1478-nucleotide long non-coding RNA is filed under the name Pan paniscus (pygmy chimpanzee). RNAcentral describes it as "lncRNA (ENSPPAG00000044438.1)". The record is from RNAcentral. Lineage: Eukaryota; Metazoa; Chordata; Mammalia; Primates; Hominidae.
CUCCCAAUUCUGCAGGCUGCCCAGAAGCAUGGCUGGGAAGGCCUUAGGAAACUUACAAUUAUGGCAGAAGGCGAAGGGGAAGCAGGCACAUAUUCACAUGGUGACAGGAAAGAAAGAGUGAAGGGGGAGGUGCUACAUACUUUAAACAACCAGAUCUCAUGAGAACUCAACUACCAUGAGAACAGCAAGGGGGAAAUUCACCUCCAUGAUCAAAUCACCUCUCACCAGGCCCCUCCUCCAACACUGAAGAUCACAAUUCAACAUGAGAUUUGGGUGGGGACACAGAGACAAACCAUAUCAUCUUCACACUCUCAACUUUCUGUCCUUUUUAUUCUUUUUAUGGGCUUCAGAAUCAACUAAUCAGUGUUCAGUCACUUCCUUUGAAAGGCUACUACAUCAUGGUGACUUGAUCCAAACAUCGAAGCACCCUGUGACCCGCCCCCAGCACAAGCUUCACCCUGGGACAGAGCCACCAGCCAUUCAUCCCCCAGAAGACCAGACACAGCAAAGCUGCAGCCACAGCUCACAGCUAUCCCAGGAUGGGGUUAGUUGCUUUGCAAUGGGACAGAGGGUCCUCUGAGAGUGCAGGCAGAACUGUGUUUGUCAAGGGGUUUGAAGGUGAGGUUCCAGAAACCAUUUGUGAAAAUUAGAUGAGAAAAUAUCUCCUUCCUUCAUCAGCUGCCUGGUGCUAUAGAAUCCACUUCCAAAUAUUGUCUUUUGGACAAAGUACCAAACAUGUAACUGAGACUCCAUUCUAAGACCAUAAAUAUUUUGCAGAUACCUACGUGGAUCUGGAUACAAAUGCUACUGCUGGUGAGAACAGAGCUAUGGCAUGCCUACUUCACAGUCUCUGACUUAGCCCAAGUUCUAAGGGUUGACUCUAACAGUCUUGAAAACUACUUCAGGAUACAUUUUUUCCCUUGAAACAAUGCUGUAAAUGGUGGCCAGAAUCCCAAAUACAUAUCCAAUUGUCCAUAGCAUUGAGGAGGCAUCUUUGACAAGGUGAGAAUUUUACUUGAUCGUAAAAACAUCUGUGUUGGAGUCUCAACCAAGACUCUUUCUAACUACAUUACCUUGGAUAAGUCACUUCUCUGAAUCAAAAUGAGAGUCAUGUUAAUACUCAACAGGUCUACUUCAAUUCAAUGAACCAUAUGUCAGGAAUUACAGGAGGAGCUGCAGGUUCUAAGUUUGAAGAGUAUCUUUCCCCAGGCCUGGGAAUCCAGCAGCCCUAGCUGUCUGUUGCUGGGUACCCUCAAGCAAGUUUCUCCACCUUAAAAUUCAGUAACAAUGAGAGGCAGGAUCACCCAAGCAGGCUCUAGAGUCAGACAAUUUUGGAUAAAUUCCAACUGCACCAUUUACUAAGUAUCAACUUUGAGUACAUUAAGCUCCUUCAUUUUCUGUAAGGAAAGGUAUAUUAUAAUGGCAGUUUUAUAAGAUUGCUAUGAAUAUUGAGAAUAUGCAUGUAAAUUUCUUGGCAC